UUCUUUUCAGGUUACACCAACAUUGGGUUUACUUCUAAUAUACUGGUGUAUUACGUCCAUCUUGCAUCAUAAUCCAUUUUGUUAGGUUACAACAGUGGGUUUAUUUCUAAGAUACUACUGUAUCAGGUCCAUAUUUACACCAUGGAAAGCUCAGGAUACAUUAAGUCUAAAACAUACAAGUAUAUCAAGGACAUAUCUACAUCAAUACUAUUUCAUCAGAGUUAUAUCAAGACAGGAUUCAUUUUGUAAAAUACUACUCUAUUAGG
Haliotis rubra (blacklip abalone) is the source of this 266-nucleotide long non-coding RNA. RefSeq lists it as uncharacterized. The record is from RefSeq and is a predicted model, not a curated record. Lineage: Eukaryota; Metazoa; Mollusca; Gastropoda; Lepetellida; Haliotidae. The transcript has 3 exons.